Molecule: non-coding RNA, 1443 nt
Organism: Pelobates cultripes (western spadefoot toad)
Lineage: Eukaryota; Metazoa; Chordata; Amphibia; Anura; Pelobatidae
Source: the annotation of a GenBank genome assembly
GUUUUUUUUGAGUUGCACUAUCUCCUCCCCUGUUUCCCGACGUCAUAUGAUCCAAUAGUGAUUUGGUUGUAAUAAAAUUACAUGCAUGGACUGGAGAAGAAACCAAAAAUAUCUAUUUCUGUGAGCUGCAAUGCUAAGUGGAUGCAAUGGAAGCCAGGGCUUGCCGAUGAACAAGACAAGCUGCAGUGAUUUGUUUUUCUAUGUAGGGAUGAGGUUUAUGCAUUGUAAGUGAAACAUUGCUGUUUAUUCCCUGGGAUUUUGCACUCCUGCAUAUAACUGUCUAUCCCUGCCUGCUUGGAGAAAGUCCGCCAUAUUCUGCCUUACCACGCCCGGGGAGCAGAGCCAUUGAAGAAAAAAAAAAAAAAAGGCUGGCAGUGGAAAUGAUUGCAGGCAGGCAUAUCCUGUGACACCAAGAAGACCAUAAGGAUCCUUGGAUGCAUAAGGACAAGGCAUUGAAACAACAAAAAGGAGAUCUUUUAAAGGAGAAAAAUAAAAGAAGGAUCUGAAGGGUGGCAAAUUUGAGGAUCUCUACUGAGGGGGAAAAAAAAAAAAAUCAGAAGGAAAAAAAAAAAUGUGUGAGAAGGGGGGAGGGGUACAAGCUGAUUAGCCUGUUAGCAUUACACUAGGGUCUGGAUUUGCCUGCAGGAGAGCUUGCACUCAUUGCAAAGGGACCUUUCUUUGGGGGGGGUGGGGGAAGUGUGCAUUUGCAAAGAGAAAGAAAAGACAUAAAGAAGGGCCGUGGCCGUGGCAGUGUAGGAUUGAGCAGUAAAUCUGCAGUGUGAGAGCCAGGCUUGCCGCCUGCCCCUGGCUGUGUGUUUGCCGUGCUUCCCAUGGAUGUCACCAGGUUAUUUGGUGCAUGGUUCUGAGAGAAGGCGGAGUUGGAGCAGCCGAGUGACAGCACAGAUCGGGUGUUCGGUGUCCCCUGUACUCGGGCUACGGCAGCACCCACCCACCGCAGGGUGCCUUCACAUCAGCUGCUCGGCGGGGGCACCUGCAUCCCUCUCCCCCCUGCCCAGUGGAGCUCAUCGGCUGCCAUUCCCUGCCGGACAUUGCCCUGUGCGCCGCCCGAGCCGCCCGUGUUGUUAUUGCGUGGCCUUUGCUGCGAGCAGUCCGUGCUAGCGGUAUCAGCAGGUCGGUCGGUGGCUGCCAGCAGGGUGGGGGUCUCUCUCUCUCCACCAGUCGGCAGACAUGACUCUGGAGUCCAUCAUGGCGUGCUGCCUCAGCGAGGAGGCCAAGGAAGCCAGGAGGAUCAACGACGAGAUCGAGAGGCAGCUCCGCCGGGAUAAGAGGGACGCCCGCCGGGAGCUCAAGCUGCUGCUGCUCGGUGAGUGUCCGGGUGUCCCGGGGGGUGUCCGGGCUCAGCCUGGGCCUCUGCAUGGCACAUGUGUGUUAUACGGUCUCCCCCACUCCCUCCCUCUCUCUCUCUCCCUAUUCCUAUCUCUC